This 300-nucleotide ribosomal RNA is filed under the name uncultured Sporotomaculum sp. RNAcentral's name for it is "bacterial SSU rRNA". It matches the Rfam family "Bacterial small subunit ribosomal RNA", at positions 496 to 795 of the family's 1533-position model. The record is from RNAcentral. Lineage: Bacteria; Bacillati; Bacillota; Clostridia; Eubacteriales; Desulfallaceae.
GCUAAGUCCGGUCAUGCAGGCGGGGUAAUACGGUGGAGUCAAGCGUUAUCCGGAUUCGUUGGUUUUAAAGGGUGCGUAGGCGGAAUACUAAGUCAGUAGUGAAAUCCUGCAGCUUAACAGUAGAACUGUUAUUGAUAAUGGUAGUCUUGAAUGCAGUUGAGGUAGGCGGAAUGUGUAAUGUAGCGGUGAAAUGCUUAGAUAUUACACAGAACACCGAUUGCGAAGGCAGCUUACUAAACUGUGAUUGACGCGGAGGCACGAAAGCGUGGGGAGCAAACAGGAUUAGAUACCCCGGUAGUC